GCUUGCUGGGGGGAUUAGUGGCGAACGGGUGAGUAACACGUGAGUAACCUGCCCUUGACUCUGGGAUAAGCCUGGGAAACUGGGUCUAAUACCGGAUAUGACCUUCCAUCGCAUGGUGGUUGGUGGAAAGCUUUUGUGGUUUUGGAUGGACUCGCGGCCUAUCAGCUUGUUGGUGGGGUAAUGGCCUACCAAGGCGACGACGGGUAGCCGGCCUGAGAGGGUGACCGGCCACACUGGGACUGAGACACGGCCCAGACUCCUACGGGAGGCAGCAGUGGGGAAUAUUGCACAAUGGGCGCAAGCCUGAUGCAGCGACGCCGCGUGAGGGAUGACGGCCUUCGGGUUGUAAACCUCUUUCAGUAGGGAAGAAGCCGUAAGGUGACGGUACCUGCAGAAGAAGCGCCGGCUAACUACGUGCCAGCAGCCGCGGUAAUACGUAGGGCGCAAGCGUUAUCCGGAAUUAUUGGGCGUAAAGAGCUCGUAGGCGGUUUGUCGCGUCUGCCGUGAAAGUCCGGGGCUCAACUCCGGAUCUGCGGUGGGUACGGGCAGACUAGAGUGAUGUAGGGGAGACUGGAAUUCCUGGUGUAGCGGUGAAAUGCGCAGAUAUCAGGAGGAACACCGAUGGCGAAGGCAGGUCUCUGGGCAUUAACUGACGCUGAGGAGCGAAAGCAUGGGGAGCGAACAGGAUUAGAUACCCUGGUAGUCCAUGCCGUAAACGUUGGGCACUAGGUGU
RNAcentral lists this ribosomal RNA (733 nucleotides) under Arthrobacter sp. RNAcentral describes it as "bacterial SSU rRNA". It matches the Rfam family "Bacterial small subunit ribosomal RNA", at positions 78 to 823 of the family's 1533-position model. Lineage: Bacteria; Bacillati; Actinomycetota; Actinomycetes; Micrococcales; Micrococcaceae. The record is from RNAcentral.